This is a long non-coding RNA of Eurytemora carolleeae, 818 nucleotides long. RefSeq lists it as uncharacterized. The record is from RefSeq and is a predicted model, not a curated record. Lineage: Eukaryota; Metazoa; Arthropoda; Copepoda; Calanoida; Temoridae. The transcript has 3 exons.
AGGUGAAGCAUGGCCUCUUUUUAUACAAGAUAACACAGACAGUGGAAAUAUUAAUCAAGUCCUUUUAAAGCCAGGUGAAAUGUUAUGGUAUGAAUCUGCCAGACUAGUACAUGGACGUCCUGUACCCUUCCAGGGAGAAUAUUACGAUAAUGUUUUUGUUCAUUUUAAACCUAGAAGGAAAUGGUAUUGGACUGCUGCAAGGUGGGUUGAGGGGGAGAGACCAAAUAAAAGAAUACUUGUUCAAACUGAUAUCAAGGGAAUCAAAGUUCUAAACCAAGUAAGAAGUUGAUUCCUCGAGGUGAGCAGUUAACACAACUGCAGGUCGAUACAGAUCUACAGAUGGAACAUACAGGAGGACUCAAAAAGAAUGAUACUGUAAUGACGAGGGGAAAAUGUUUUAAUAAAACAAUAAUAAUUAAAGUAAUUGAAUCUUUGCCACAAACUUUGAUUUUCUAAUCCCUAUAUUUUUGCAACCUAAUGUAGUACAUCUUAUUCAAUAAUUAGAUAAGGAAAAACAAAGUUCACAACUGUAGGUAACCCAGAAUGUCAGAAAAAAAAAUUUCGUUCAGUCUUUUCUGAAAUCCGACCCUGAAUUUAGUUAUCAGGUUCAAGAGAUUUUAUGUCACAACGAAUAUUUGAUAUGUAAUAAUCUAAAUUCAUGUAAUGAUGCAUAUAUAACAUGUGCCAAUGUAAAAAGUACAUUUCAUAUGUAACAUUCUAAAAUUUGCAUGAGUGCAUUUGAUAAUUUACACGUUGUAAUAAGCUAAAUAUAGGUUUGUAGAUAUAUAUCAUGUACCUAAAAAAUGUACAAUUGUUAA